RNAcentral lists this long non-coding RNA (1024 nucleotides) under Anas platyrhynchos platyrhynchos (common mallard). Its description in RNAcentral is "lncRNA (ENSAPLG00000025426.1)". The record is from RNAcentral. Lineage: Eukaryota; Metazoa; Chordata; Aves; Anseriformes; Anatidae.
CCAGCUCUUCCUUGCUCCCUCCUCAUCACCACCCCCCGGCUCCCUCACAGCCCUUCUCCUCGGCGCUGAGCCCCCCAAACCCCUCACAGACGGGACGGGGGCUGCCCCCUGUGCUCCUCCGGUGGCUUCUGGAGCCAGCCCCGCCGUGUCGGGGCCGCGGCAUUAUGCAGGGGGACCGCGGGCACUGCCGGCUCCGCCUGUGAAUUAGUUCUGCACAGAACCACUUAAUACAUCUCUCCCAGAAUUAAAUGUGCGCGGAGAGCUGCCAUAGGGCAAGCCACCAGGUGGUUUAAUUUCUUUUUUAGAAGACAUUAGCAGAACUCGAUAAAGGGUCAAGUAAUUUCAUCCAAGUUGCCACUAGUUAGUUAAGAGAAAGCGACAGGACCGCGGACUGACAUUGUUACAUUUCCGCAAAUAUAUUUUAUAAAACGGGAGUUUAAAAUUUCAUUUUUUUUGCAGAAAGAGUGAUUGCCCGAGGAACGCUUCUUAGCUUUAAAAGAUUACCUCGCCGGUAGCUAAAUAGGGCGUUUUGAUUAAUAUUUGCUAUUUGGCGAGCGGGCUGAGCCCUGAAAUGAGAUGGUUACUUUUUCGACAGGAGUGACUUUGGUGCGGGGCGCGCGCGGCUCCCCGGGCGGCGGCGCGGGCAGUAAUUCCAGCGAAUUGUGAGCGGACAGUGAGCCCGCGGGGAGCGCUGGCAAUCAUGGCGGAAACAAUGUUUACAUCGAUCAGCUGUCACGGAAACACUUUCUCCGGCUCAAGACGGUGGCCAGGCCCUCAGAAACUUGGAAAUGAGAAUUUGAGGUUGGAGAGCAGUCAGGGAGCCUGCGGUGCCGGGGUGCCUCCUCGUCCUGUGUGCCACUGGACCGCGGCAAAACGCCGUGUCACGAAGUGUGCUCUGUCUGUCCUGUGACCCAUGUUACGAUGAUUGAUUAAAAGGGAAAUCCUGACCUCCCGAACUGGGAAGCUUGUGUAACAGCCUCCCGUGCAGCUCCGGUUGCCAGUUUUCUCUACCAUUUUUAGAGCA